Molecule: long non-coding RNA, 1142 nt
Filed under: Mastacembelus armatus (zig-zag eel)
Lineage: Eukaryota; Metazoa; Chordata; Actinopteri; Synbranchiformes; Mastacembelidae
Description: lncRNA (ENSMAMG00000026410.1)
Source: RNAcentral
UGAGAAUACAGAAAGUCAGAAAAUCUCUGAUCAGACUUUACUGAUUCCUUCUGACCAGCAGAGGGCGACGUUGUGUCUCUUUACAUAGUCCAGAAAAACAAAUAUUCUGAACACAGAAUGCUUGAUAGUCCGACAUUGUUUUUGAAAACCCUGACUUUCUGCUCUUUGUUUUUCUUGCAUUGUGCUGCAGUAGAAGAGAUGGAGUGUGAUCCAGUCAAUGACCCUGUUAGUGCUGAAGACUCAGAGGAGAACAGGACCAGCACAGGACUAAUGUCUGAACUCAAGACUCUACCAGCUGUAACCCAUCAGGAAGGUAAAAUUUAAAUGACUGAUUUUAUUGAACAAAAAUACAAAAGAGUCAGAAUGACAAAAAAAGUUCUAUCAGUUAUUUACAGUGAACAUGAGUAUAUCACAGUAUAGCAUUAAGUGGUAGUGAAAUGUUCAAAUCUUAUAUUUUUUAUUCAUUUUCAACAUUUUGUAUUAUCAUUGGUUCCAUGUGUUGUUUUAAGAACUAGAUGAAUUCUGUUUUUUGUUUUUCAAUGAUUAGGAGUAUUGUAAAUGUACACUUUAUCUUCUUUUAAAAAUGUUAUUCUGUCUGUACUGAAACUGUUUCAGUUCUUCACAUGAUCAGACUAACUUCAUUUUUACAAUAUACUAAUAUCUAUAUUCAUGUUAUUCAUAUUUACCAAUGGAAAUAGCAGUCUGGCUUCUACUGCAAUAAACAAAAUCUUCAUACAAGUCUAAAUGCCUUCUGUUUUUAACGUGCAUCAUGUGAAUAUCAGAUUUUUCUCUUGACAAAAAAUUCUUAAUCAAGGAAAAUGAUGAAAAAGAAAAAUUUCAUCACAGUUUUAGUGAUAAACACAAAUACAUUGUGGUCGAGAAAAGAUUGUUUGAUAAAAACGUAAUUUUUUAAUCACAACCAAGAAUGAGCCUUUCAUUCUAGCAAUCAAAAUUAAUUAAAUUUAAGGAAAUUAAAAAAACAAAACAACCAAAAAACAAAAAUGAACUGCAAAAUGUGGUGGUGAGUACUGAAGCCACACAACAAGAAAUUUCCAGGUUCAAAUCUCGGAUAAAUGGAUGAAAGUUUGUAUGAUAAAAGAGUUAGCUUUGGAAGUUCAGUGUUCAACGUUCAUAGUAAAAAC